GGCGACCGGGUGAGUAACACGUGACUAACCUACCCUAGAGUGGGGGAUAACCUCGGGAAACCGGGGCUAAUACCGCAUAACAUCACGAGGGGAAGAUCCUCGUGAUCAAAGGAGCAAUUCGCUCAAGGGGGGGGUCGCGGCUGAUUAGCUAGUUGGUGGGGUAACGGCCCACCAAGGCGAAGAUCAGUAGCCGGCCUGAGAGGGCGCACGGCCACACUGGAACUGAAACACGGUCCAGACUCCUACGGGAGGCAGCAGUGGGGAAUUUUGCGCAAUGGGGGAAACCCUGACGCAGCAACGCCGCGUGGAGGAUGAAGUCCCUUGGGAUGUAAACUCCUUUCGAUCGGGACGAUAAUGACGGUACCGGAAGAAGAAGCACCGGCUAACUCUGUGCCAGCAGCCGCGG
This 406-nucleotide ribosomal RNA is filed under the name uncultured bacterium. RNAcentral's name for it is "bacterial SSU rRNA". It matches the Rfam family "Bacterial small subunit ribosomal RNA", at positions 97 to 520 of the family's 1533-position model. The record is from RNAcentral.